RNAcentral lists this ribosomal RNA (480 nucleotides) under uncultured bacterium. Its description in RNAcentral is "partial 16S ribosomal RNA". It matches the Rfam family "Bacterial small subunit ribosomal RNA", at positions 28 to 507 of the family's 1533-position model. The record is from RNAcentral.
GACGAACGCUGGCGGCGUGCUUAACACAUGCAAGUCGAACGAUGAAGAAAAGAAUCGAAGCUUCGGCAGAAAUUCAUUUCGGAUUAGUGGCAGACGGGUGAGUAACGCGUGAGCAACCUACCUCUUACAAAGGGAUAGCCUCGGGAAACCGGGAUUAAUACCAUAUAACAUUGCGACGAAGCAUUUCGAUGCAAUCAAAGCUACGGCGGUAAGAGAUGGGCUCGCGUCCCAUUAACCGGAUGGUGAGGUAACGGCUCACCAUAGUGACGAUGGGUAACCGGACUGAGAGGGUGAACGGUCACACUGGAACUGAGACACGGUCCAGACUCCUACGGGAGGCAGCAGUGGGGAAUAUUGCACAAUGGAGGGAACUCUGAUGCAGCGACGCCGCGUGAGUGAUGAAGGAAUUCGUUUCGUAAAACUCUGUUCUAUGGGAAGAAAAGGACUGUACCAUAGGAGAAAGCUCCGGCUAAAUACGUG